RNAcentral lists this ribosomal RNA (1424 nucleotides) under uncultured organism. RNAcentral describes it as "16S ribosomal RNA". It matches the Rfam family "Bacterial small subunit ribosomal RNA". The record is from RNAcentral.
ACACAUGCAAGUCGAGGGGCAGCAUGGUCUUUUCUUGCUAAGGCCGAUGGCGACCGGCGCACGGGUGAGUAACGCGUAUCCAACCUGCCUUACACUCUUGGACAGCCUUCUGAAAGGGAGAUUAAUACAAGAUGUUAUCAUGAGUAAGCAUUUUCGCAUGAUUAAAGGUUUACCGGUGUAAGAUGGGGAUGCGUUCCAUUAGAUAGUAGGCGGGGUAACGGCCCACCUAGUCUUCGAUGGAUAGGGGUUCUGAGAGGAAGGUCCCCCACAUUGGAACUGAGACACGGUCCAAACUCCUACGGGAGGCAGCAGUGAGGAAUAUUGGUCAAUGGACGAGAGUCUGAACCAGCCAAGUAGCGUGAAGGAUGAAGGUUCUAUGGAUUGUAAACUUCUUUUAUACGGGAAUAAACGAAUCCACGUGUGGAUUUUUGCAUGUACCGUAUGAAUAAGGAUCGGCUAACUCCGUGCCAGCAGCCGCGGUAAUACGGAGGAUCCGAGCGUUAUCCGGAUUUAUUGGGUUUAAAGGGAGCGUAGAUGGGUUGUUAAGUCAGUUGUGAAAGUUUGCGGCUCAACCGUAAAAUUGCAAUUGAUACUGGCAGUCUUGAGUACAGUUGAGGUAGGCGGAAUUCGUGGUGUAGCGGUGAAAUGCUUAGAUAUCACGAAGAACUCCGAUUGCGAAGGCAGCUUACUAACCUGUAACUGACAUUGAUGCUCGAAAGUGUGGGUAUCAAACAGGAUUAGAUACCCUGGUAGUCCACACGGUAAACGAUGAAUACUCGCUGUAGGCGAUAUACAGUCUGCGGCCAAGCGAAAGCAUUAAGUAUUCCACCUGGGGAGUACGCCGGCAACGGUGAAACUCAAAGGAAUUGACGGGGGCCCGCACAAGCGGAGGAACAUGUGGUUUAAUUCGAUGAUACGCGAGGAACCUUACCCGGGCUUAAAUUGCAACCGAAUAUGGCGGAAACGCUAUAGCUAGCAAUAGCGGUUGUGAAGGUGCUGCAUGGUUGUCGUCAGCUCGUGCCGUGAGGUGUCGGCUUAAGUGCCAUAACGAGCGCAACCCUUGCCGAUAGUUACUAACAGGUCAUGCUGAGGACUCUGUCGGGACUGCCAUCGUAAGAUGUGAGGAAGGUGGGGAUGACGUCAAAUCAGCACGGCCCUUACGUCCGGGGCUACACACGUGUUACAAUGGGGGGUACAGAGGGCUGCUACCACGCAAGUGGAUGCCAAUCCCAAAAACCUCUCUCAGUUCGGAUUGAAGUCUGCAACCCGACUUCAUGAAGCUGGAUUCGCUAGUAAUCGCGCAUCAGCCACGGCGCGGUGAAUACGUUCCCGGGCCUUGUACACACCGCCCGUCAAGCCAUGGGAGCCGGGGGUACCUGAAGUGCGUAACCGCAAGGAGCGCCCUAGGGUAAAACUGGUGACUG